CAGCAGCCGCGGUAAUACAGAGGGUGCGAGCGUUAAUCGGAAUUACUGGGCGUAAAGCGCGCGUAGGCGGCUUUGCAAGUCGGGUGUGAAAUCCCCAGGCUUAACCUGGGAACUGCAUUCGAGACUGCAUUGCUAGAGUAUGGGAGAGGGAAGUGGAAUUUCCGGUGUAGCGGUGAAAUGCGUAGAUAUCGGAAGGAGCAUCAGUGGCGAAAGCGACUUCCUGGACCAAUACUGACGCUCAUGUGCGAAAGCGUGGGGAGCAAACAGGAUUAGAUACCCUGGUAGUCCACGCCAUAAACGAUGAGAACUGGAUGUCGGGAGGGUCUGCCUCUCGGUGUCGUAGCUAACGCGUUAAGUUCUCCGCCUGGGGAGUACGGCCGCAAGGUUGAAACUCAAAGG
RNAcentral lists this ribosomal RNA (399 nucleotides) under uncultured bacterium. RNAcentral describes it as "bacterial SSU rRNA". It matches the Rfam family "Bacterial small subunit ribosomal RNA", at positions 509 to 907 of the family's 1533-position model. The record is from RNAcentral.